UGGAAUUGGUGGUAUUGGAGGUGGGCUUGGUGGUGGAUCUGGAUUAUUAGGAGGAGUUGGUGGUUUGGGAGGGGCUGCUGGAGGCCUCGGGGGCCUCGGAGGCGGUGCCGGAGGUGGCCUCGGCGGUGGUUCAGGUGGUGGCCUUGGCAGUGGUAUCGGUGGCGGCGCUGGUGGCGGAUUUGGUGGAGGUGCCGGAGGGGGUCUCGGGGGUGGAAGUGGCAGUAACUGUGGUGGUGGCCUACUUCACCCUUGAUAUUUCUACAAUUUCAUUUCAUGCUUCUUUAAUUUUAGGAUAAUGUCAGUUAAUCAAGUCGGUUUUGUGUUAGCCUUUCUUCACUUUUGAUAAGUCGGUUAUAAGUUUUUAAGAGUUCUUUUAUUUUGG
RNAcentral lists this long non-coding RNA (382 nucleotides) under Citrus x clementina. Its description in RNAcentral is "Citrus clementina (C. clementina) long non-coding RNA (CCLE_LNC004589)". The record is from RNAcentral. Lineage: Eukaryota; Viridiplantae; Streptophyta; Magnoliopsida; Sapindales; Rutaceae.